RNAcentral lists this unclassified non-coding RNA (346 nucleotides) under soil metagenome. RNAcentral describes it as "partial contains 5.8S ribosomal RNA, internal transcribed spacer 2, and large subunit ribosomal RNA". The stretch from base 1 to 120 matches the Rfam family "5.8S ribosomal RNA", at positions 35 to 154 of the family's 154-position model. The record is from RNAcentral.
GAUGAAGAACGUAGCGAAAUGCGAUAAGUAAUGUGAAUUGCAGAAUUCAGUGAAUCAUCGAAUCUUUGAACGCACAUUGCGCCCGCUAGUAUUCUGGCGGGCAUGCCUGUCCGAGCGUCAUUUCAACCCUCAAGCCCCUCCGGGGGCCUGGCGUUGGGGAUCGGCCCCGCUCCGGCGGCCGGCCCCGAAAUGUAGUGGCGGUCUCGCCGCUGCCUCCUCUGCGUAGUAGAAACACCUCGCAUUGGGACGCGGCGGGCCCACGCCGUUAACCAGAUGAAUUUUUUCAAGGUUGACCUCGGAUCAGGUAGGAAUACCCGCUGAACUUAAGCAUAUCAAUAAGCGGGGA